UUGAAGGGAACGAUUGAAGUCAGUCGUACCCGCGAGAAAUCAACCUUUCGAGGGCAAUCCCGUGGAUGUUUGGGAGCCUUAACGGUCCCUACGUUUUCGGGUUUGUUCUCUUUUGGCGUACUUUCUUGCGCGGUAGGUUAACAUCAAUUUCGGACGUCAUAAAAUGAUCGGAGGAAUGUGGCUUCGAUUUUUCGAAGUGUUUAUAGCCUUCGGUAGAUACGACGAACGGGAUUGAGGAUUGCAACGAAUACCUUUUAGGCUAUUCGUCUGAUCUCUAAUCGUUGCCUUGGUACCGAAAGCGUGCUUAUGGUCAUUGAGGUUGAUGGUUAAAAGGUUAGAACGAAUUACAUUCGUUAAGGAUGUUGACGUA
This 370-nucleotide ribosomal RNA is filed under the name Glomus sp. rp3. Its description in RNAcentral is "eukaryotic LSU rRNA". Lineage: Eukaryota; Fungi; Glomeromycota; Glomeromycetes; Glomerales; Glomeraceae. The record is from RNAcentral.